AGCAUCAAUAGGACAGCUGUUUCCGGAUGAACCAGGGGUGCGUGGAGGUGUGACCGGCCUAGGAUUAGGACUUGGGACUGAAGGACGGGGUGGAGGAGGACAUUGGACCGGCUUGGGCUUAGGACUUGGGACUGGCUUUGGUUUAGGACUUGGCUUGCAGUUGCAAUUUGUUGCAACGGUUAAGGUGAAAAAGAGGAUGUUGAGCGCAAAGAAAAGAGCAAGAGAGGCUGAGUUCUUUGAAGCCAUUUGUUUUUUUUUUCAAAGUUAUAUUCGGUGUUGUAAGGGUUAUUGAAUAAAUAGAUAUGAAGAGAAGAUGUUGGUAUUUAUAGGAUUUUAGAAGGAUGGGAAGAGGACCAACUUGAUUUAGUUUAAAAUUUAUUUAUAGAUAUUUGUAAUUAUUUGUAUAUAUAUAUAUAUAUAUAUAUAAAUUCUGACCAUUUUUCCUAUAUGCAUGUAGCUAGGUACGUAGAACCUUGAAAUUAUUUGGAUUUUGUUUUUUGUAAACCAUUUUAAAAUUAAGAAAAUACUUUAUAUAUACGUGCAUUCAUAUAAGUAUUAAUGUCAAGUUGUCAAUGCUGUUAUUAUCAACACCAUCAUGAGUUCGUGGAUGCACAAGAUAUUCAGAUUUAUCUUGGUUCGUAGCUCUUUUACUUGACGGCUUCUAUACGUCAGGUCGAGUAAUAUAAUAAAUUCCUAGUGUAGUUAUAAUCAAGCUGAGCCCGGCCAUGGAGACACACCCAAAGUAUUUAGAAACUUACUCGAAAAUUUGUGAUAUGUAUAUAAUAUAUGAUUAAUAUAUAUGUAAUGUUUAUGAAUUUAAUUAAGAUUCUUUAAUGCAUAAAUUAUGAAGACAUUAAAAUCCUCCUACAUGAUUCGGUUUUUAGGGGUGUGUAUCAAGAACCCACAAAUUUGUUCUCUAUGCAAAAGGUUAAAACAGAGCGGUCGAGCAAUUAACUAGGACAAUAUCAUGGAAACCGCAACUCAUCAAUUUUGAUUGUUUUUUUUUGUUAUUUUUUUUUAACAUGGUUUACUAAAUAGUUAGGUUAGUUUCAUGAUUUAAUUAUUUAAAUCAAACCAUGGUUUGAGAACAAAUAUGUUUAAUUAUAUAUAAAGAACUACGAAAUUUUAACAUUUUAACAUUUUGAUUCUUGGUAGUGUCCCCACAUACAUCCAUUUGCUUCUGUCGUUGAGCUGGUUUACUGUUUCUCAAAAUCAAUAAAAACUAUUCGUCCCAAAAGAACAUUUCAUCUUUGAUUCUUGAUUGAAUCCCCACCAAGUGGUUUUCACCUAGAUACAUCCAUUUAUGAGUCUUGUAUACACCGAAACAACUAUAUAUGUCUUGCAUGCCUUAAAUAACUUCAUGGUCAUAUGCAUAUGUAUAUAACUUCAUAUAUGAUCUACUGGGAAAAAAGGCCGAGACGGUUUUGGUAUGCUGCUCAAUGAGGCGAUUGCGUGUAUUGAGGCCACACAAUAAUCAAUAAUGUGUAUUAAGCAAUUCAUUAUGUAAACGUUUAAUAUGUAACUAUCAAAAUCCUAUAUAUCUAUUGUACGGUUUGAACCCUUCGUGUAUGUAUAUUGGUCUCAGUAAGUAACAUUAAUACAAUAAUUUAAAUUCAUAUUUUUAUUUUUGGCUGAGCUCAAAGACGUGUUUGUUGUCGGCUAAGACUAGAUAUUUUAUAUUUCUACUCAACAUUAUUCAUCCAUAAGAAUCGUCUUAUGUUAGAUGUUGACGAUUAUAAUUUCUAAAUAUGUUUCGAGUUUACGUAGGAAUUGACGCUGUGACUCUGUGAGGUCCAAAUAUAAGCAAAAAUAUUAGUGGUUCCAAAUAAAGUCAACCCGAUGACGACUGAUUAAUCCUAAUCGCUCAUUUUCGUUUUUUUGUAAGAAUUCGUUGAAUCCUCCUCAUCAUAAAGAACAAAAAAAAACAUUUUUUCACGACGUUUGUCAAAAAGAAGAGAUGUGUUUGCAUGUUUUGUCAAACUACAAGCAAAUUGCGAUAUAGUACCUUAGAAGUUAUAACUAUAUGAUAGUGCAUGUAUACAUGAACUUGUCACUGUCAAGUCCUAUCGAUAUCUAAUAGAUGUACGUAAAGAAACUUUGUGUGUUUCAAGUUUUAGCUUUUGGAGUUAGGGUUUAGGAUUUGUAGCUUCAAAUUUAAUGUUUAGGAUUUGCAGUAUAGUUUUUACUUUUAGGGUUAAGUUUGAUGUAGUGUACAUUGAAGAUCAACAAUAACUACGUUUAUGAUAGAGAAAUAAAAACAGAACUAUCUGUAGUAAUUUUCGUUUUUAUAUACAAAAACAUCAAUUUGGUUUAAGAAAAAAAUAAUUAUUUUCUUGAAACAAAUCUUCAGUGAAUCUAAAGGUACCUUAAAAGUUUCAUAUAUCUUAUUAUAUAAAGUAUGGUUUUUAAAAUUACUAACUCAUAAGAUUAUGCCAUGUGUCAAGUCUAUCGAUCAGAUGUUGACACGUGUAAGAAAAUAAUUAACUUUUUUCUUCUUAAAGAAAUAGAAAUACUAAAAAAGAAAUCAAUUAACUUUUUUCUUCUUAAAGAAAUAGAAAACUAAAAAAUAAAUCAUUAUUAACAUAUACUAAUUUAUAUGUCUAUAUGACUAUAUCUAAAAAAUAUUACAUUUUGUUUUUCUUAACCAAAAGAAAAAUUAACCAAAAAUAUUUAUAUAUGUUAUUGGUCAAAUUUUUAAUAUGUAUGGUAUUAAAAAAAAAUUUAUUAUUAUUAUUUAUGGUUUGUUAAUUGUUAAUAAUUUUUAAUAUUAACUAAGAUAUAGAUUUGAUCUCAUAUAUAUAUUAUUUUGACAUGAAAUCAUUAUCAAGUAAGAUGAAGUGUGUAGAAUUAAAAUCGAGUUUUUUAUGAAAUAGAUAGUUAAAUUGUAUACAAAAUUGAAUAUGUAAGAUAAAAAUUUGUUUUUUUCUUCUAAAUACUAAAUUAUAAUAAAGAAAAAGUGUGUAGGUUACUAUUUAGACUUCAAAUAUCAUCAAUAAGAUUGAAUGGGUAUAAUAAAAUAAAAUGCAUAAGACUACUAUUUUACUAUUCAAAAUUAUAUAUCAAGAACAAUGUAUAGAUUAUUAUUUUACUAUUCAAAAUUUAAAUAUUAUCGAUAAAAAAUUACAGUUACAUCUUACACCCGCCUAUUUAGACGGGCCUUAUCUAGUAUUAUAUAAGAGCUAGAUAUAUAGCAUAUAAUGAUAUUUUGUUUUAGUAGUUGUAUUUAAGAAAAUAACUACUAUACAUAGAUAACGUUUUUAAAAGUUAUUUCUCAAUGUUGUUAGAUUUAUUUUAUGGUAUACGAUUAGUAAUUACGAAACUUUAAAUUUUUCGAAUUAGUAAGUUAUUAUGCUCAUAUUUUGGUACGUUUUUCUCUUAACAUUUCCGAGUAAUAAAACUAAUUGUCAUUCAAUUUACAGUACUAGAUUAUAUUAGUACUGUAAACCAUCUUGUUCCGUUCUAUGAUUCAUUCUUUGCGACUAUAUUUGUAAAAUAUCUUUUGCAAGACUCCAAAUUUUCCAGUGUCCCCACAUACAUCCAUUUGCGUCUGUCAUUGAGCUUAAUGUAUGUAACUCACAUUCACAUCAUCACGGGUCAUAAAACCCCGAACAUGAACUUCUAUUGGUAUGAAUGUUAAAACUGAUGAUAACAAAACAAAACAAAAAACAUUUUCUUUAAAUUUCCAUCAAGUAAUUCUAGAUGAUAUUGACAGAUAUAUUUAACGUUCAUAAAAAGUUGUUGAAAAUUUACUAAUCAGUAAUCACCUCAUGUGUUGAUCGAGUUCAGUUAAUUCACUAUCAAGAAUAUACAACAUGCGUAGCUUUACUCUACAAGUUCUUGAACUCGUGAUGAUGGAGUUUCAAAACAGAGGAAGAAGAAGCAGAGUUACAAGCUCUUAUAUCCAAUUCUUAUAAUAGUAAACCCUUCAUCCGAAUAAGAGGCUCUCUCUUAACCCUCGAUACCGCAUUAACCAGUCUCCCGUUUUCUGGUUAUGUUUUAAUCUAAACCGAGUUAACCGGAGUUCUAAACGAAUCACUUCUUCAACAGUACCGCUCAUUCAUGGAUAAAAUAGAUUAGGCAAAGACUUGAUUUCCGGUUCAAAGUUUUAGCUAAAAAUGGGUUCAUGGCCAUCCAUAUUAUUUUUCAAGAUCUCUCGGUCUUGGGCUAAUGAUUUAAUGAAACCACAUAAACAUGAUCACUCAAACCGUAUUUCACCCGGAAAAAAAAAGGAAGAACAAAUCAACUUAUGUUUGGUUGAUAAUGGUCCACUCAUAAUUUAAUGUUUUAAAUACAGUUUUAGAUUACGGAAGAUCAUGGUUUAAAGGGAAAAUUCAAACUAAGCUCGAGAUAUGUAAUCGUUAGGUUAAUAUCACGUACAAUGAUCAAUAGUUUUUUCUUAAGCAGAAAUCAACUAUUUCGUAAACAAAAAAAAACGUAUUCUACAGAAUGAAUAUGUCAAUUUAAAGAUUUAAAUUAUAAUUUGUAACGCAAGAAUUUGAAAAUGAGUACAAAAUCUCUUUUAUUAAACGGGUUGAAAAUAGUAAUAGAUUGCUACAAAAGCAUACAAGACCGGAAUACAGGAACGUUGACGGAAAAAAAAAACUAAGAAAGUCUCACUCUCACACAUUGGUUAUUUCACUUUAACAAAUUCAAAAUUUAAAACAUAAACUCUAUAGCUUACAUGCAUUUAUUCAUACUGUAACAAUUUCGAAGAAGAUAUUUGUGCACGGGCAUCACAUCGUAUGCAUAGCUGAUAUCCUUCAAGCACAUUGGAAGCCAGACGGAACCUUUCUGUUACAAACGUUGAGAAGAACACUGAGAGAUAUCGGGACGUUAAGGUUGAUACCAAGAACGUUAGCCCUAAGCGCAGUGCAAAGACAAAUGGCAGCGUCGAGGUCAACCAAACCUUGGAUGAGCGAGCAACAUGGUUGAGCUGAUGGCUGACCCAAUUGAAUGUUGAGUAGACUGCUUAAAACGUUCGCACAUACACCGAGUCUGAGAGCAUCGAUAGGACAGUUUCCAGAUGAGCCAGGGGUUCUCGGAGGCGUGACCGGCCUAGGGUUAGGACUUGGGACCGAAGGACUUGGUACUGAAGGACUUGGGACCGGCUUGGGUUUGGGACUUGGGACCGGCUUGGGUUUAGGACUUGGGACAGGCUUGUGCUUAGGACUUGGGUUGCAACCACAAUCUGUUGCAGCGGUUAAGGUGAAGAAUAUGAUGUUAAGGGCGAAGAAAAGAGCAAUAGAGGCUGAGUUCUUUGAAGCCAUUUUUUUCUUUCAAAAGUUUGUUUUAAGGAUUUAUUCAGUGUCUUUGAGAGAGUGAGAGAUGAAGAUAUAUGAAGAGAGGGUGUGGGUACUUAUAGGGUUUUAGAAGGAUGUGAAGAGGACCAACUUGUUCUAUUAUAUUUGAUUAUUCACAUAUAUUUGCAAUUCUACAAAAUAUCUGUUUAUUUAUUUAUUUGCCCUUAUCUACAUAUACAAAUUCUGACCUUUCUACUUUCCUUUAUGUAGAUUCGUAGAACCUUGAAUUAAUUUAGACAUUAAUCGUUUUUGUAAAACAUUUCUAUUUAAGAAAUAAAUAUGAUUUGUGCGUUCAUAUUACUAUUAUUUUCAAAUUGUCAAUGCUGUUAAUCUGUUAUUAUCACCACCAUCAUGAUGGUUCAUGACCUCAUUGCACAUACCUUCAGAUUCUCUUUGGAUCGUAGCCAUUUUACUUGAGAGCUUCUAUACGUUAGUCUAGUGGUCUUAGUACAUUCGAGAGGAAGUUGUGCUCUACACUCUUUUCCGAGAGGAUGUGUUUUAUCACAAACUGGUCCCAGAAGAGGAAGACAUGCUAACAAAAUUCUCGAACUUCCUCGGAAAAAAAUGUUCAAUGUGAAUGUUUUCAAAAUUUUGGAUCCUCUUAUGCAUAAAUAAGAGGACAUCAAAGCCCUGGAUGAAUCAGGUUUGUCUAUAUGCAUGGUUGUGUCAUUUGUGACGUAAAGCAAACAGUAUGAAUACAAAUUAGAUCUCAUAUGGAUUAUAUAUGACUAAUCCCAACUUGCAAGAGAAUUUAGACAAGAACAUCUCAAUUUUUUUUUCCAAUGUUGGUUAGAACAAUUUGUAUUGAUUUAUUUCUUGCAUUUGAGAUUUGAAAUUACAAAGUUCGAUGAAGAAGAGGUUUGCGGUUGGCUAAAACAACCCGUGAGAUGACAUCCACGAGAGAAUAGAGUGAUCCGGCGAUUUACUUAAUAAUUCUAAGAAGGUUUACACGAUAGUUAGUUUAGUUUCCUAAUUUGAUAAACUGCUGUUAUUUAAAAUCAAUCCAAUGUUAUUUUCUGUUCCAUUUAGAUGUAGAACUAACUUUGAGAAAAUAUGUUCACAUAUAAAAAAACAAAGGAAUCUAAAUUAUGGGUAUUAUAACCAAAAUUAAACAUGAAUGAAACUAAGAUGUGAACAUAUGAAUAUUUUAGAGUAGCAGAAUCAUUUGAUUUUCCGGAAAAGGCUGGAUAUAAUGUUUAUAAAAGUCAAUAAUAAAUUUUGUCCUGAAAGAAAAUAUCUUUUUUUUUUUAGCAAUGUUAGGACAAAAAUAUAUAAAACUCAAUUAAAAUAACAUUUGGAACUUCUUAAAAAGAAACCAAUAACAAGAAAAAAAUAAAACAGUGAUAUAUAUAUAAGGUUUUACUGUGCAUAUAUCUAUUUUAUACCUUCACAGUAACUAUUAUUCAACAUGCUUUAACGCCAAUUCAUUUCAUAACUAUAAAUAUUUGCAUGAUCAACUAUGAAACUGCUUAUUAAAACAAAAUGCUACGCCAAAAAUUAGGCCAUAAAUGUUUUAUAGUUUUUUAUGGGUUUUUAGUUUUUGGUUUGUAGUUUUUGGUUUCUGAUUUUUGUAGUUUUUGAUUUUUGAUAUAGAUUUUAGUUUUUGCAAAAUAUUGAAUAGUAAUUUGUUUAGUUUUUAGGUUUUUGACAUAAUUAUUAUUUUUCAAACGUUUUUAGUUUUGAAUAAUUUGAUAAAUGGUAAAAGUAACAUUUAAAAUAAUAAACAAAAUUGAAAAAAAAAUGUCACGUAAAUGUUUUUUAAAACCUACAAAAUUUGGUUUUUGGAUUUUUUGAAGAAAUAAGCAAAAUCUUCUAAAAUCUGGUUUCCCUAUUUUCUAAAAAUCUACUUUUUUUAAAAUCAUGAAUUGAUAAAUAUUUAGUUUUUGCAAAAUCAAAAUCUAAAAACUAUCCUAAAAACUGCAUCCAUUCAAGGCCUUAAUUUGCAAUUACCACUCUUUUGAAUUGCGCUCUCCAACUAGAAGACGUCUCCAAGUAAAACGAUUUACUGUUACAAACCAAAUUGGGUUUUCCGAACCAAACCAGAAUUUGAGGGUUUGAGUUAUUUUCUCUAAUUUUUCUAACCAAUAUUACUGAUUAAACCAGAUUUUACAAAAUUGUACAAACUUUUCUUAAAAUUUUUUCAAACCAAACCGAACCUAAAUUCUUAUGGAUCUUAGAUAAAUAACCGUAUGAAAUUAACCGAUAACCGAACCAAAUUUUGAUUCCGUUUUAUUAAAUAACCUUACCUCCUAACCGAAUUACUCAAAAACCGACUAUCCAAAUUGAACCAGAACCGUUCGGUCCAAAGUCGUAGGCCUAUAAGUAGUAAAUGUAGCAUACUAUCUUCUUCGGAAAUUUCAAUAUCUCCAAUCAAGUUUAAAUUUUGAUUAUCAAAGGCUGAACAAAGAAUUAAUCAUUGGUAUGUUCAACUACACUACAGUUUUGGAGAAAUAUCAAAUCAUACAAUCUUGAUUUCAUUGAUUGGAAGGUAUAGUAACUAGUACAACAAAAAGCUGCAGCUGGCUAUAGAACUGUCAUAAAUAUCGUAGUUUGACUAGAUUUUAGUUUUGGAUUCUACUCAGAACCUCAUUUUGUCAAUUUGGCUUAAAUAUACACGAAAUAUUCUCAUCCAAAAUUAUAAAGGAAAAUAUUUGUAUACAGAAAAUUACAUGAAAUAUUUGAAUACUAGACGCUUUUUUUUUCUUUUUUUGACAACAAAUAAAAUGGACUAUGAAACGUCUUUCAUUUAAACAAUAAAAGUUACAACAAAAACAUAUAUGCGCGGAAAAAGAUAACGCCUCACACUUAAACAAAAGAUUGAAACAUUGAACCCUUAACUUGCAUACAUGCAUGCAAUUAUUCAAACUGUGAUUAUUUUAAAGAGUAAACUGUGUGCGUCGUAUGUGUAAUUGAUAUCCCUCAAGCACAUUGGAAAUUAGACGGAAGCCUUCUGUUGCAAACGUUGAGAAGAACACUGAGAGAUAUAGGAACGUUAAGGUUGAUGCCAAGAACGUUAGCCCUAAGAGCAGUGCAUAGGCAAACCGCAGCGUCAAGGUCAACCAAACCUUGAAUGAGUGAGCAGCAUGGUUGAGGUGAUGGCUGUCCCAACUGCACGUUAAGUAGACCGCUUAGCACAUUCGCACAUACACCGAGUCUGAGAGCAUCGAUAGGACAGUUUCCGGAUGAACCAGGGGUUCUCGGAGGAAUGACUGGCGUAGGGUUAGGACUUGGUACGGAAGGACUUGGGACCGAAGGAGUUGGUACGGAAGGACUUGGGACCGAAGGAGUUGGAACAUAUGGACUUGGGACCGAAGGAGUUGGGACCUUAGGACUUGGGACCUUAGGAUUUGGGAGCGGCCUAGGCUUAGGACUCGGGUUGCAUCUACAAUUAGUACCAGCGGUUAAGGUGAAAAAAAGGAUGUUGAGGGCAAAGAAAAGAGCAAGAGAGGCUGAGUUCUUUGAAGCCAUUGUUAUGGAGAAUGUUUGAGUGAGAGAUGAAGAAAAUGAAGAGAGGGUGUGGGUAUUUAUAGGAUUUUAGAAGGAUGUGAUCAUAUGAAGAGGACCAACUUGUUUUACUUACAGAACAAUUCAUUAAUGAAGUCAUGGCCUCAUUGCACAUUUCAAUUAUUAUUUUUAGGGCUGUCAACAAAAAUUAAUUGUUUACCAAUAGUUUAAUAAAAUUACGCUUUUUAUCAAAUUAAAUGUUUAUUUCUUUAAUCAAAUUAAAUUUUUAUUUUAUAAUUAAAAUUACAUUACAAUAUUACGUAAAUAAAAAUAAAAUAAAAAGUAAAUACAUUUUUGUUUAAACAUCAAUAUAUUGUUUCGACAUCAUAUGGCAAAGUGAGAAAUGAGAUCCUUUAAACUAGUUUUAAAGAUACAGUUAUUUUUAGUGUAUAUAUAAAAAACAUAUAUAUAUAAGAUUUGUUUUGAUAUAAAAUGAAAACAUAUAAAUUUAUUUCUAGUAUAAAAUAUAAACAUAAAAUUUGAAGGAUCACAUUAUAAACAAAAAAUAUUCCACUACUCCAAACUGAAGGAUAAAUUGGGUUACCCUAAAUUGUUCCUUACUCCAUAUUUGUUCACCACAAUAUUAAAAAUAUGUCCUUUAUAAAUGAGUAAUAGUUAAAAAAAUAUACCAUUGAAAUUUCUCUCCAAACCGGUCGUAAUAAACAACCCAAAAAUUACAAAUCCUGGUUGAAUUUUGAUGCUAUGUUAUGUAUACACAGGGUUCACUCGAUCGAUAGUUUAGUUUCCUACUUUGAUAAAGUGAUACUUAAAACAAAACUGAUUAUACUGUUCUAUCAAAAUGUAAUUCUAACUUUGAGAAAAUAUGUCAUGAGCAUAAUCCAAUUAAAAACAUGUACGAUGUGAACAUACUCAAAAUAUAGAGUAACGCAAAAUCAUUUGAUUUCCCGGAAAAUGCAGAUUUAAUGUUUCUUAAAGUCAAUAGUAAUAUUUUUGUCCCGAAAGAAAAAUCUCAUCUUUUUAGCAAUGCUAGGACAAAAAGAAAAGCAAAAAAAGAUAGAGCUAAUAUUUGCACCGAAAGAAAAUAUAAUCGUUUCAGCAAUGCGAAGACAAAAAGAAAAACAAAAGUCAAUUAAGAGAAUAUAUAACAUUUGGAUUCUUCAAACGAAAUGAAGAACAAGAAAAACUAACACGGUGAUAUGGACACAUUUAAUAGUUUAAUAUAUAGUUUUAAAGAAAAUCAUACAAAAAGUUAUAUUUAUUAUUUCAAGUGGUUAUCUUUCCACCACGGUCGUACGUGGGAAUAGUAUUAAGAGUAUUAUAUGAAUGUAUUUAUUUGGGAGUGGACUCCAAGAUUUAUACUGAAUGUAAAUUUUGAGUUUAAAUUUAGAGUUGAGGUCAGAACUCAACUCAAAGACGUGUUUGUUUUUUUUGGCUAAUUUAAAGACAUGUUUGUUGUAGUCGGCUAAGUUGAGAUAGUUAUUUUAAAUGAAUUGAACACUUAAAACAUUAUAAUAGUAUUCCAUAUUUCGCGCUGAUGUUAAAGGAUCGUCAUGUUUGUUUAUUCGCCACUAAUAUGGGUCGUCUUGUGUAGACGUUACGUUGACUUGAAGAUCACAAUUUUUAAUUGUUUGAUAGAUUUACGAAAACGUACAUAUUUAUCGGCUUUUAUCUUUGGAAGUAUUUUUCAUACGGAUUACAAUUAAUGGUCCUGAUUAAAAGUCAGCCCUACUAUCACUAGACUAAUCCAAUCACACAUUUUUAUUGUCUGAAUUUGUAAAGAACUCAAUUUCAGAAAAUUCGAAAAUCAUUGACAAACAGAAACGAAAAUGAAAAUGUGGAAAUAAUUUUUGAUCCACGAAGAAUUUGAUUCUUUUUUGUCAAUUAUUAUAAAAAUUAGAACGGAAUCCAAACCGGACAAAGAAAGUUUUCAUAAAGAGUUCUCAUGAAGAAACUUAUUAUAAACAAGAAAUUAAAACCCUUCUACUUUAUUAUCACAAUCACUAACUGAAUAACUGUUAGUACAUUUGAUCAACCUAAGUCUUUAUGCCAAACUUGUGAUUAGACCCAAAAAUCAUUUUUAACACUACAGUAACACAGCUUACGCCAUGUAAUUCAUAAUAUUUUAAAACUACCUAACCAAGGUAUUUUUUUAAAAAAAGUAUGUAACGAGACAUGCAUGAAGCAGAUAUAUCAACUAAAAGGUUGAGAAAAUGCAACUAAAAAUAGACCAAAACGAACAAAUAAAUAUAAAUUAUUGACAUAAUUGCCAAAGAUAAAAAUUAGGAUGUGAACGUACUCAUAUAUUUUAGUAUAUUAUUAGCGUAACGAAAAUAAACCAUUGAUCUUCACACGAAAACAGGGGCUCUUACUUAAAUGUCAAUAAAAAAAUUUGUCCUCAAAGAAAUAUCACAUUUUCAAUGAUCCUAGGACCACAAAAUAGUUUAAGCUGACAAUAAAAAAACAACACAUUAUUUCAAACUUCUUCACAAGAAACAAAGAGCAAGAAAAAUUAACAACGUGAAGUGGACACAUACUGUAUAUGCAUAUGGAAGAGGAUUUGUAAAUGAGCAACGGAAUUUGAUUGGGCAGCUAUUUAUUACUUUUAUUGAGGUUUUACCCGACUGAACAUCAGUUUCAAUUUGAUUCUAGAUAUUUCAAAUUGUUUUAUUUCCAACAAGGUUGUAAGUAGUAGUAAGGUCUUCGAAAUAUUUUUAAAUAAGUCUUUUCUAGUUUGCUACAUAUUUGACAAACAUAGUUUUUUAAAUAAAUAAACAAAUGAGAAUUUUGCAUAUAUAUAUAUAUAUAUAAUAUGUAGCAAACUACAAAAGAAUUAAUAUGAUUUAAUUUCUAUUUUUCAAGUUAGCUACUAUAGAUUUUAACCUUAUUUAUCAGUAUUUGUUUGUUUUUUUUAGAAGUCAAGUGGUUUUAACACCAAAUUUGUUUUCCUCUCACUUAGUGAUGAUAAUCGAACCCACCAAAUAGUUUUUGGUGACACUGAGGAUUUAACCUGGCAAAUAAACUCUAGUUAAUCUAUCAAGUUGAUUAGAUUUAUUUUAUUGCAGAUAAUUAUUAUUAAUAUAUUGGAGCCAUAGGACUCGGCUUCUCUGCUUCCAGAACUGUUAUUCUAGCUUCUAAGCAUGCUCUAGUUUGGCUGAGAGAGAUCCUAUAAGUUCUGGUAUUCGUUUUUUAUAUUCAGUUAUUAAAACCUUAGAUUAUCGCAAUAUUGUUUACUUUUUAUUUCUUUUAGUCAUUCUUUGCGACUUUAUUUGUAUAUAGAUAUAUCUUUGCAAGAGUACUCCAAAUUCCCCAGUCCCCACUGCAUGUGACCACAUACGUAAAUUUAAUUCUGUAUCAUAGUAACUAACAUUUACGUUAUCACAAUACAAUCCGAACAUAACCCUUCGUACAUUCGUAUCACCGUGUGCAUGUUAAAAUAUAAAUUUUCCACAAUCUAGAAUUCGAUUUUCAUAUUCAGUUAUUCAAAACCUUAGAUUGUGUCAAUAGUGUUUUGUUUUAUUUCUUUUACUAUUUCUCUGCGACUAUAUUUGUACAUAGAUAUAUCUUUGCAAGAGUGAUCAAAAUUCCCACCACAUACGUAAACUUAAUUAUGUAUCAUAGAGCUUAAUGUAACUAACAUUUACACAUUAUCACGAUUCAUAUACAAUCCGAACAUAACCCUCCAUUCGUUUCAUCGCAUGCAUGUCAAAAUAGAAAUAACCCACAUGCAAGAAUCUGAAAAUAAGACGUUGCUUACAAAACUUCUUUCGGUAAAUAGGUUGAAAAUAGAGAAAUAUAUUGCUUCACAGGUAUACAAAUGGCGAAGACGGGAAACGUUUACAAAAUGAAACUAUAAAACUCUCACAUGUUUAUUCUAUCACUUAAACAAAUUCAAACUGAAACAUUAAAACCUACCAUUCAUGCAUUUAUUCAAACAGUAAUGAUUUUAAAGAGAACACUGCGCGCAUGAAGAGUAUGGAUAGCCGCUGAUACCGCUUAAGCACAUUGGAAAUCAGACGGAAGCCUUCUGUUGCAAACGUUGAGAAGAACACUGAGAGAUAUAGGAACGUUAAGGUUGAUGCCAAGAACGUUAGCCCUAAGGGCAGUGCAGAGACAAAUCGCAGCGUCAAGGUCAACCAAACCUUGGAUGAGCGAGCAGCAUGGUUGAGCUGAUGGCUGUCCCAACUGCACGUUAAGUAGACCACUUAGGACAUUCGCACACACACCGAGUCUGAGAGCAUCGAUAGGACAGUUUCCGGAUGAACCAGGGGUUCUCGGAGGAGUGACAGGCGUAGGGUUAGGACUUGGUACCGAAGGAGUUGGAACUGAAGGAGUUGGGACUGAAGGAGUUGGGACCGAAGGACUUGGAAUCGAAGGACUUGGGUACUUAGGACUCGGGACCUUUGGACUUGGGACCGUCCUAGGCUUAGGACUUAGGUUGCAUCGACAAUCAGUAGCAGUGGUUAAGGUGAAAAAAAGGAUGUUGAGGGCAAAGAAAAGAGCAAGAGAGGUUGAGUUCUUUGAAGCCAUUGGUAUUUUCUUUAGUGUUUUAAGGAUUAUUGAUUGAGU
RNAcentral lists this long non-coding RNA (13331 nucleotides) under Arabidopsis thaliana (thale cress). Its description in RNAcentral is "long non-coding RNA (ATHA_LNC000246)". Lineage: Eukaryota; Viridiplantae; Streptophyta; Magnoliopsida; Brassicales; Brassicaceae. The record is from RNAcentral.